AGUGAACGCUGGCGGUAGGCCUAACACAUGCAAGUCGAACGGCAGCACAGUAAGAGCUUGCUCUUACGGGUGGCGAGUGGCGGACGGGUGAGGAAUACAUCGGAAUCUACUUUUUCGUGGGGGAUAACGUAGGUAAACUUACGCUAAUACCGCAUACGACCUACGGGUGAAAGCAGGGGAUCUUCGGACCUUGCGCGAUUGAAUGAGCCGAUGUCGGAUUAGCUAGUUGGCGGGGUAAAGGCCCACCAAGGCGACGAUCCGUAGCUGGUCUGAGAGGAUGAUCAGCCACACUGGAACUGAGACACGGUCCAGACGCCUAAGGGAGGCAGCAGUGGGGAAUAUUGGACAAUGGGCGCAAGCCUGAUCCAGCCAUACCGCGUGGGUGAAGAAGGCCUUCGGGUUGUAAAGCCCUUUUGUUGGGAAAGAAAAGCAGCAGGUUAAGACCCCGCUGUUCUGACGGUACCCAAAGAAUAAGCACCGGCUAACUUCGUG
RNAcentral lists this ribosomal RNA (492 nucleotides) under uncultured bacterium. RNAcentral describes it as "partial 16S ribosomal RNA". It matches the Rfam family "Bacterial small subunit ribosomal RNA", at positions 29 to 507 of the family's 1533-position model. The record is from RNAcentral.